AGGCCCUCCGAGCUGGUGGAAUCAAAAACUGAGAACACCGAAGAAGAUGUCACGGAUGAAAUGACCGGUGGUGCCUCGCGUUCUCUUGGCUUCCCGACAAAAGAGCCCUUUGCAUUUCCAGGACUUCGCAGUGACAUAGAAGCUAUUGAGAAAGGCUUCGGUAGCUUUCUGGAUGAAGCUGAGCGGAUGACCAACGAGUUCUUCAAAUCUUUUGGAUUUCCAACCAUUCAUGACGGGGACUCGAGACCAUCUCCUAGGCAACCUGCAGAGAGGCAUAUUGGAGAAGGUGCCGCAAAGAAGCCCAAUGAGAAUGAGUACUCCGAAUUCGGUAGCCAGAUAACAGAUGUGUAA
RNAcentral lists this ribosomal RNA (351 nucleotides) under Triticum aestivum (bread wheat). RNAcentral's name for it is "partial small subunit ribosomal RNA". Lineage: Eukaryota; Viridiplantae; Streptophyta; Magnoliopsida; Poales; Poaceae. The record is from RNAcentral.